CCUACGGGUGGCUGCAGUAGGGAAUAUUGGACAAUGGGCGCAAGCCUGAUCCAGCCAUCCCGCGUGAAGGAUUAAGGCCCUCUGGGUUGUAAACUUCUUUUCUUUGGGAAUAAAAACUCCGAUUCAUCGGAGCUUGAAGGUACCAGAGGAAUAAGCACCGGCUAACUCCGUGCCAGCAGCAGCGGUAAUACGGAGGGUGCAAGCGUUAUCCGGAUUCACUGGGUUGAAAGGGUGCGUGGAAGUCAUUGGUGAAAUCCCGGGGCUCAACUCCGGAACUGCCAUUGAUACUGCUUAGCUUGAAUCAGGUCGAGGUGGAUGGAAUAUUACAUGUAGCGGUGAAAUGCUUAGAUGUGUAAUAGAACACCGAUUGCGAAGGCAGUUCACUAGGCCUGUAUUGACACUGAGGCACGAAAGCGUGGGGAUCAAACAGGAUUAGAUACCCUUGUAGUC
Molecule: ribosomal RNA, 450 nt
Filed under: uncultured bacterium
Lineage: Bacteria
Description: partial 16S ribosomal RNA
Rfam family: Bacterial small subunit ribosomal RNA
Source: RNAcentral